This 392-nucleotide ribosomal RNA is filed under the name uncultured bacterium. RNAcentral describes it as "bacterial SSU rRNA". It matches the Rfam family "Bacterial small subunit ribosomal RNA", at positions 37 to 433 of the family's 1533-position model. The record is from RNAcentral.
UGGCGGCAUGCCUUACACAUGCAAGUCGAACGGUAACAGGUCUUCGGAUGCUGACGAGUGGCGAACGGGUGAGUAAUACAUCGGAACGUGCCCGAUCGUGGGGGAUAACGGAGCGAAAGCUUUGCUAAUACCGCAUACGAUCUACGGAUGAAAGCGGGGGAUCUUCGGACCUCGCGCGGACGGAGCGGCCGAUGGCAGAUUAGGUAGUUGGUGGGAUAAAAGCUUACCAAGCCGACGAUCUGUAGCUGGUCUGAGAGGAUGAUCAGCCACACUGGGACUGAGACACGGNCCAGACUCCUACGGGAGGCAGCAGUGGGGAAUUUUGGACAAUGGGGGGAACCCUGAUCCAGCCAUGCCGNGUGCAGGAUGAAGGCCUCGGGCUUGUAAACUGC